GGAGUGGUAGUUCAGUUGGUUAGAAUGCCGGCCUGUCACGCCGGAGGUCGCGGGUUCGAGUCCCGUCCACUCCGCCA
This 77-nucleotide transfer RNA is filed under the name Idiomarina abyssalis. Its description in RNAcentral is "tRNA-Asp". It matches the Rfam family "tRNA". Rfam says of the family: Transfer RNA (tRNA) molecules are approximately 80 nucleotides in length. Their secondary structure includes four short double-helical elements and three loops (D, anti-codon, and T loops). Further hydrogen bonds mediate the characteristic L-shaped molecular structure. tRNAs have two regions of fundamental functional importance: the anti-codon, which is responsible for specific mRNA codon recognition, and the 3' end, to which the tRNAs corresponding amino acid is attached (by aminoacyl-tRNA synthetases). tRNAs cope with the degeneracy of the genetic code in two manners: having more than one tRNA (with a specific anti-codon) for a particular amino acid; and 'wobble' base-pairing, i.e. permitting non-standard base-pairing at the 3rd anti-codon position. Lineage: Bacteria; Pseudomonadati; Pseudomonadota; Gammaproteobacteria; Alteromonadales; Idiomarinaceae. RNAcentral also lists the same sequence under 20 other names. The record is from RNAcentral.